This 504-nucleotide ribosomal RNA is filed under the name uncultured bacterium. RNAcentral describes it as "partial 16S ribosomal RNA". It matches the Rfam family "Bacterial small subunit ribosomal RNA", at positions 28 to 507 of the family's 1533-position model. The record is from RNAcentral.
GACGAACGCUGGCGGCGUGCCUAUACAUGCAAGUAGAACGCACAGUUUAUACCGUAGCUUGCUACACCAUAAACUGUGAGUUGCGAACGGGUGAGUAACGCGUAGGUAACCUGCCUGGUAGCGGGGGAUAACUAUUGGAAACGAUAGCUAAUACCGCAUAAUAUUGAUUAUUGCAUGAUAAUUGAUUGAAAGAUGCUAUUGCAUCACUACCAGAUGGACCUGCGUUGUAUUAGCUAGUAGGUGAGGUAACGGCUCACCUAGGCGACGAUACAUAGCCGACCUGCGAGGGUGAUCGGCCACGCUGGGACUGAGACACGGCCCAGACUCCUACGGGAGGCAGCAGUAGGGAAUCUUCGGCAAUAGACGAAAGUCUGAACGAGCAACGCCGCGUGAGUGAAGAAGGUUGUCGGAUCGUAAAGCUCUGUUGUAGGAGAAGAACGGGUGUGAGAGUGGAAAGUUCACACUGUGACGGUAUCUUACCAGAAAGGGACGGCUAACUACGUG